CAGUUUGCCUCCAUGGAGAGCUCCUAUGGACAUAGACCUUGCAAAGACACUCUCAUUUUUGCCAUUACAUGCAUGUUUUGCAUAACGAAGUACCAUGUGUGCUAUUCCUGCAAUGAUCACAAUUGGAGUUGCCGUGUGUGCUAUUCCUAAAAUGAUCACAACUGGAGUUGCUAUUACCGCCACUGCACCAGAUACCGGACACCCGUGGUGCGGUUGUUUUAUCUGCUGCAUUUGAUCCAAUGACACCCCAGUUAUAACUUCUCUAUCCUUUACAUACAAAAUCCAAAGGCUUUUUGCUGCUUGCUGGCCAUGUUGAAUCGUAAAGCAAACAUGUAGAAAGUCACUCAAGGAAUUAAGAAAAUUGAAGAGGAAGGGUUAGUUUUCAAUGGGAUUGGAGAAUUGGAUGGGUGCAAACUCAACAGGAGGUUUUUAUGUAUUUUUUUUUGCCCUUGUGGUAUUAGAGACUAUAAUGAUGCAGAAGUUCUGGCCAUAAGGAAGGCCUUCAAUUUUCUAAAUUACUUCGUAGCUCUGAUGUGUCUAAGAUUAUUAUUGAAUCCGAUUCUUUCAAAGUGAUUACAUGGAUUUCCUCUUCACCAGAUAAUAGGCCAUGAUGUCUUCAACAGGAAUUCAACAUCAUUGAUAAUUUAAGAAUGAUAAUAGGGUGUAUUUCUUUUUAACAUGUGCUGUGUGAAGGAAAUCGUGUUGCUAACAGUCUCGCAAAGCAAAGAGUCUCAAGGGACUUUGAUUUCAUUGCAUGGUUAUAAUGCUUCAAUAACGCAAUCAAGAAUUUAUAUUCUCAGGAAGGAGGGGUUGUUGGUUUCUAGUGGUUUUUGCGUUUCCUCUUGGUUUUAUUUUUGUUUAACUUUUGUGGCAAUUUUUUUGGCUUGUGGGUAGUUUAUUUAGCUGGUGAUCCUUCCCUUGUGGGUAGUUAUUUAGCUGUUGAUUCUUCUCUACCUGAUGAAAAUCUGUUAAAUUGUUGCUUUGGGUGUUCUCAUGCUUCCUAGGCUACUGGUUGUGUCAUCUUGGAUGCUAGUUAUGUUCUUCUAGUUUUUGCAGAAAUUUAUGCUCAUUGCAACAAUUGGGUUGCUGCUGCUUUUUGAGUGCUACAAUUCCCUUUUGCUCUUUGUUGCUGGUUGGUUUGAUCUAUUUUAGUUCAAUCUCUUAAUGGUUGUGUUUUG
This 1178-nucleotide unclassified non-coding RNA is filed under the name Hevea brasiliensis (rubber tree). The record is from RNAcentral. Lineage: Eukaryota; Viridiplantae; Streptophyta; Magnoliopsida; Malpighiales; Euphorbiaceae.